This 378-nucleotide small RNA is filed under the name Pan troglodytes (chimpanzee). RNAcentral describes it as "processed transcript". The record is from RNAcentral. Lineage: Eukaryota; Metazoa; Chordata; Mammalia; Primates; Hominidae.
GGACGGGGUCAGGUCCCAUCAUGGCGGCUGAAGAGGCGGAUGUGGAUAUCGAAGGGGACGUGGUAGCGGCGGCGGGGGCACAGCCAGGAAGUGGUGAAAACACAGCAUCAGUUUUACAAAAAGAUCACUAUCUUGAUUCAUCUUGGAGAACAGAGAAUGGCCUUAUUCCUUGGACCUUGGAUAACACCAUCAGUGAAGAGAACAGAGCUGUUAUUGAGAAAAUGUUGUUGGAAGAAGAAUAUUAUUUAUCUAAAAAAUCACUACCGGAAAAAGUCUGGCUUGAUCAAAAGGAAGAUGAUAAAAAAUACAUGAAGAGUCUGCAGAAAACAGCAAAAAUCAUGUAUGUACUUAUAUUUUAUAUUUCUAAAUCUGUUUUCA